RNAcentral lists this ribosomal RNA (461 nucleotides) under uncultured bacterium. RNAcentral describes it as "bacterial SSU rRNA". It matches the Rfam family "Bacterial small subunit ribosomal RNA", at positions 29 to 524 of the family's 1533-position model. The record is from RNAcentral.
AACGAACGCUGGCGGUAGGCCUUAGACAUGCAAGUCGAACGAGAAAUAUAUUUCGGUAUAGAGUACAGUGGCGGACGGGUGAGUAACGCGUAGGGAGUUACCCAGUAGUGGGGAAUAACCAUUGGAAACGAUGGCUAAUACCGCAUACGCCCUUCGGGGAAAGAUUUAUUGCUAUUGGAAACGCCUGCGUUAGAUUAGCUAGUUGGUAGGGUAAGAGCCUACCAAGGCAACGAUCUAUAGCUGGUUUGAGAGGAUGAUCAGCCACACCGGAACUGAGACACGGUCCGGACUCCUACGGGAGGCAGCAGUCGGGAAUAUUGCACAAUGGGGGAAACCCUGAUGCAGCCAUACCGCGUGAGUGAUGAAGGCCCUUGGGUUGUAAAGCUCUUUCACUAAUGAGGAUGAUGACGUUAAUUAGAGAAGAAGUCCCCGGCUAACUUCGUGCCAGCCGCCGCCGUAAU